This 443-nucleotide ribosomal RNA is filed under the name uncultured bacterium. RNAcentral describes it as "partial 16S ribosomal RNA". It matches the Rfam family "Bacterial small subunit ribosomal RNA", at positions 338 to 795 of the family's 1533-position model. The record is from RNAcentral.
CCUACGGGUGGCAGCAGUGGGGAAUAUUGGACAAUGGGGGGAACCCUGAUCCAGCGACGCAGCGUGAGUGGAGAAGUAUUUCGGUAUGUAAAGCUCUAUCAGCAGGGAAGAAAGAAAUGACGGUACCUGACUAAGAAGCCCCGGCUAACUACGUGCCAGCAGCCGCGGUAAUACGUAGGGGGCAAGCGUUAACCGGAUUUACUGGGGGUAAAGGGAGCGUAGACGGUUACGCAAGUCUGGAGUGAAAGGCGGGGGCCCAACCCCCGGACUUCUUUGGAAACUGGAUAACUGGAGUGCAGGAGAGGUAAGUGGAAUUCCUAGUGUAGCGGUGAAAUGCGUAGAUAUUAGGAGGAACACCAGUGGCGAAGGCGGCUUACUGGACUGUAACUGACGUUGAGGCUCGAAAGCGUGGGGAGCAAACAGGAUUAGAUACCCGGGUAGUC